ACGCACGCUGGCGGCGUGCUUCACCCAUGCCAGUCGCACGAUGAAGCGGGUGCUUGCACUCGUGGAUUAGUGGCGAACGGGCGAGUAACACGUGAGUAACCUGUCCUUUUCUUUGGGAUAACGGCUGGAAACGGCUGCUAAUACUGGAUAUUCAGGCUGCAUCGCAUGGUGUGGUUUGGAAAGGUUUUUUCUGGGAUUGGGUGGGCUCGCGGCCUAUCAGCUUGUUGGUGGGGUGAUGGCUUACCAAGGCUUUGACGGGUAGCCGGCCUGAGAGGGUGGUCGGUCGCACUGGGACUGAGAUACGGCCCAGACUCCUACGGGAGGCAGCAGUGGGGAAUAUUGCACAAUGGACGAAAGUUUGAUGCAGCGACGCCGCGUGGAGGGUGUAGGCCUUCGGGUUGUGAACUCCUUUUUCUCGCGAAAAAGGCACAGUUUUGGCUGUGUUGAUGGUAGUGGGGGAAGAAGCGCCGGCUAACUACGU
RNAcentral lists this ribosomal RNA (481 nucleotides) under uncultured bacterium. Its description in RNAcentral is "partial 16S ribosomal RNA". It matches the Rfam family "Bacterial small subunit ribosomal RNA", at positions 29 to 506 of the family's 1533-position model. The record is from RNAcentral.